CCCUUGUUAGCUCAGUUGGUAGAGCGCUCCACCUGUAAUGGAGAGGUCCCGGGUUCGAUACCCGGACCAGGCG
Molecule: transfer RNA, 73 nt
Filed under: Ixodes scapularis (black-legged tick)
Lineage: Eukaryota; Metazoa; Arthropoda; Arachnida; Ixodida; Ixodidae
Rfam family: tRNA
About the family: Transfer RNA (tRNA) molecules are approximately 80 nucleotides in length. Their secondary structure includes four short double-helical elements and three loops (D, anti-codon, and T loops). Further hydrogen bonds mediate the characteristic L-shaped molecular structure. tRNAs have two regions of fundamental functional importance: the anti-codon, which is responsible for specific mRNA codon recognition, and the 3' end, to which the tRNAs corresponding amino acid is attached (by aminoacyl-tRNA synthetases). tRNAs cope with the degeneracy of the genetic code in two manners: having more than one tRNA (with a specific anti-codon) for a particular amino acid; and 'wobble' base-pairing, i.e. permitting non-standard base-pairing at the 3rd anti-codon position.
Source: Rfam by way of RNAcentral